Molecule: long non-coding RNA, 717 nt
Organism: Lotus japonicus
Lineage: Eukaryota; Viridiplantae; Streptophyta; Magnoliopsida; Fabales; Fabaceae
Exons: 3
Source: RefSeq, a predicted model, not a curated record
GGCCCAUUGGCAUUCAUGAACCGGAAUUUGGAGAGGAAUUCCCACGGUGACGCACACUAUUUUGGAAGAAUUGUAGAUAACCUGUUUACUUCUGGCUUCUAUUGAUGCAAACCUUAUCCACAAAAAACUUCAAUCUCAAAAACAUCAUCCACAAUAGCCCCUAUAAACAAACUAGUCUCUGCAGCACUUUCACUGGAAUGAGUUCACCACUCCUAUCACCUCUUAUUCCCACCACCCGCAUGAAUAAUCUUUGUUUUGGGGACCAGAAUUGCUAUCAUCUAUUGAUGGUUACUUGUUCUUAUGGCAUGGAAGCUGAAGUUGGAACAUGGAACCUUGAUGCUGUUCCUUUAUAGACUCAGAUAGUCUUCAUGAAGCUGGUGGAAGUGUAAUAAAAUAUGUAUGAAUUAUUUUCCUUUAGAAAAGGGAAGGGUCGGUUUCUCACUGGACAAAGCUCACAUCACAUGGAAAGGCCAGACAAAUGAAAGGGCCACAAAUACAAUGCACCUCUGUCUGCUAAGAAUAUUAUAAAAAGACAGUCUAUCAGCUAUCAAUGCGGCUAUCAAUUCUCAGAUUAUAAUAAGCGCAUGGUCAUUGAUUUCAGACAGAAAAGAAUCUCAGUCCUGCAACUAAAGAAGCUGAAAAUCGUUUGUAUCAAACAAUAAAUGUUCUGAUAUAUUCUGUACAAAGAAUUUCUGAAGUUAGUUCAUAUUUUUCCAA